This 1411-nucleotide long non-coding RNA is filed under the name Ornithorhynchus anatinus (platypus). RNAcentral's name for it is "lncRNA (ENSOANG00000047825.1)". The record is from RNAcentral. Lineage: Eukaryota; Metazoa; Chordata; Mammalia; Monotremata; Ornithorhynchidae.
CCUCUGUCCUCUGCCGCCCAGUGUCUCCGCUGUGCUGACCGACUGCAUUUCUGACACUCUCUUGCAGUGAUGCAGCCAGUGACGGCAGUGCUGAAAGCCCACUGGCGUGUUUGCAGCCUGUCUGCCUGCAGCCCUUUCUAUGGCUCUUUCCAGUUUCCCUCUGAUUUAUUCUCACACUGAGCCACGAGAGAACUGAGGGGGCUGUUGUUGGACCUCUUGCCAAAGGGAAAAUGGAGGAUCUUCCCAUUUCUGUCAACCUCGGAUGAGGCACCGCUCCUGCCCAUCCCGUCCCCCAGCCUGCCCUGUGCCUGUCCUCCACCCAUCAGCAUCAUUUGUUCUUCCUCUAGACUGGAAGCUCGUCGUGGGCAAGGGGCGUGUCUACCACCUCUGUACUCUCCCAAGCGCUAGGACAGUGCUCUGCACGCAGAAAACUCUCAAAUGAUUUGAUUCCGGGCAGGGCAGGCGUUCAGAGUGACUAGAUUUCAUCCAGGUCUCACGGCUGGUUGGCUUGGGAAAAGUCACCAUGGUUUCUGGAUUCGUGUCAACCAGGAAGGGUAGGAAUUUAGACUGGGCUCCCCCGAAGGCUUGGGGCGGGCCUGGGGACUUAGGGCUGCCUCUGGACAGCCUCUCUUCGGCAGACUCGUGAUAUUUUGGAAGAGAGGGUGGACCUUGCAGAUGAACAUUCCUACUCUGCCAUCGCUAGAGGGUAGUAGUGGCCAGAGGAGAAUGCAAAGCGAAUCCCUCCUGCAGGAUGAAGAGCCAUUGUUCAGGCCCGAGGGAUUGGGUGUGGUGGGUUCACGAGAAUGGGCAGCCCUCUUCUGAGCGAAGGAAAGCUGCUGUGCCUUCGUGGCUCCGGAUCUGGGACCCUAAAUGUCCCAAGGAGAAGAGGAGGGUGGAGAGAUCCAGCUGAAGGUAUAGAAGUCUCCUCUCAGAGCAGUCCUGAUCUCAAGGACGUCUGUCCCACCGGUCCCAAAUGGUCAAUCGCAAAAAAGGUCUUGCUGCCUGUGUGGUGCUGGGCUUUGAAAUUCUCAAGUGAGCAGCGGGAGAUUCAUGCAGCUCUUAUUGUGAUGGUUUGGGCAAGAAUGCUGCUGGGAAUUCGAGAACGGCCUCCUUCCUCAUCAUCAAUGAUGAGAAAACCGAGGCCCAAAGAGGUGACUCGCUCAAGGUCACGCAGCAGACUUGUGACUAAAUUAAAGGGAGGGGCCGUGGCCGAUCCCAGAACUGCCCGUGGACUGGACAGCCCGGCUCAGCCCAGUCCUGCCCAGAGGAAAGGAAAACAGUCUAACCACGGGAUGCUCUUCCAGCCUCCAUUCCGGGCAGACCUGCAGACCCCGACCAGGGUCCCAGAGGGACCAAAGGGCUGAGGUGGGCACUGGGGAGGAGGGGCAGAUCUGGGUGAAGGGAAACUUUC